Molecule: ribosomal RNA, 253 nt
Filed under: uncultured bacterium
Lineage: Bacteria
Description: partial 16S ribosomal RNA
Rfam family: Bacterial small subunit ribosomal RNA
Source: RNAcentral
UACGGAGGGUCCAAGCGUUAUCCGGAAUCAUUGGGUUUAAAGGGUCCGUAGGCGGUUUAGUAAGUCAGUGGUGAAAGCCCAUCGCUCAACGGUGGAACGGCCAUUGAUACUGCUAGACUUGAAUUAUUAGGAAGUAACUAGAAUAUGUAGUGUAGCGGUGAAAUGCUUAGAGAUUACAUGGAAUACCAAUUGCGAAGGCAGGUUACUACUAAUAUAUUGACGCUGAUGGACGAAAGCGUGGGGAGCGAACAGG